Molecule: ribosomal RNA, 427 nt
Filed under: uncultured bacterium
Lineage: Bacteria
Description: partial 16S ribosomal RNA
Rfam family: Bacterial small subunit ribosomal RNA
Source: RNAcentral
GUGGGGAAUAUUGGGCAAUGGGGGAAACCCUGACCCAGCGACGCCGCGUGAGGGAAGAAGGCCUUAGGGUCGUAAACCUCUGUUGUGUGGGAAGAAGGAAGUGACGGUACCACACGAGGAAGUCCCGGCUAACUACGUGCCAGCAGCCGCGGUAAUACGUAGGGGACGAGCGUUGUCCGGAAUUACUGGGCGUAAAGGGCGCGUAGGCGGUCAUUUAAGUCAGCUGUGAAAUGGUCCGGCUCAACCGGAUCAUGCGGUUGAAACUGGAUGACUGGAGUGCUGGAGAGGCAAGUGGAAUUCCCAGUGUAGCGGUGAAAUGCGUAGAUAUUGGGAAGAACACCGGUGGCGAAGGCGACUUGCUGGCCAGCAACUGACGCUGAGGCGCGAAAGCCAGGGGAGCAAACGGGAUUAGAUACCCGGGUAGUCC